UGGGGAAUUUUACACAAUGGGGGAAACCCUGAUGUAGCGACACCGCGUGAACGAAGAAGCCUUUCGGGGUGUAAAGUUCUGUCAGCAGGGACGAAAAAAAUGACGGUACCUGCAGAGGAAGCAUCGGCUAACUACGUGCCAGCAGCCGCGGUAAGACGUAGGAUGCAAGCGUUGUCCGGAUUUAUUGGGCGUAAAGAGUUCGUAGGUGGUUCAUUAAGUCUGAUGUAAAAGGCGCGGGCUCAACCCGUGUAUCGCAUUGGAUACUGGUGGACUCGAGUGCAGUAGAGGCAAGCGGAAUUCCCAGUGUAGCGGUGAAAUGCGUAGAUAUUGGGAAGAACACCGGUGGCGCAAGCGGCUUGCUGGGCUGUAACUGACACUGAGGAACGAAAGCUAGGGGAGCAAAUGGGAUUAGAUACCCCCGUAGUCC
Molecule: ribosomal RNA, 427 nt
Filed under: uncultured bacterium
Lineage: Bacteria
Description: bacterial SSU rRNA
Rfam family: Bacterial small subunit ribosomal RNA
Source: RNAcentral